AAUAGAUACCCGGGUAGUCCACGCCGUAAACGAUGAGUGCUAAGUGUUAGAGGGUUUCCGCCCUUUAGUGCUGCAGCUAACGCAUUAAGCACUCCGCCUGGGGAGUACGGUCGCAAGACUGAAACUCAAAGGAAUUGACGGGGGCCCGCACAAGCGGUGGAGCAUGUGGUUUAAUUCGAAGCAACGCGAAGAACCUUACCAGGUCUUGACAUCCUCUGACAACUCUAGAGAUAGAGCGUUCCCCCUUCGGGGGACAGAGUGACAGGUGGUGCAUGGUUGUCGUCAGCUCGUGUCGUGAGAUGUUGGGUUAAGUCCCGCAACGAGCGCAACCCUUGAUCUUAGUUGCCAGCAUUCAGUUGGGCACUCUAAGGUGACUGCCGGUGACAAACCGGAGGAAGGUGGGGAUGACGUCAAAUCAUCAUGCCCCUUAUGACCUGGGCUACACACGUGCUACAAUGGAUGGUACAAAGGGCUGCAAGACCGCGGGGUCAAGCCAAUCCCAUAAAACCAUUCUCAGUUCGGAUUGCAGG
RNAcentral lists this ribosomal RNA (530 nucleotides) under uncultured bacterium. RNAcentral describes it as "bacterial SSU rRNA". It matches the Rfam family "Bacterial small subunit ribosomal RNA", at positions 777 to 1304 of the family's 1533-position model. The record is from RNAcentral.